Molecule: ribosomal RNA, 450 nt
Filed under: uncultured bacterium
Lineage: Bacteria
Description: bacterial SSU rRNA
Rfam family: Bacterial small subunit ribosomal RNA
Source: RNAcentral
GAUGAACGCUGGCGGCGUGCUUAACACAUGCAAGUCGAGCGAAGCACUUAAGUUCGAUUCUUCGGAUGAAGACUUUUGUGACUGAGCGGCGGACGGGUGAGUAACGCGUGGGUAACCUGCCUCAUACAGGGGGAUAACAGUUAGAAAUGGCUGCUAAUACCGCAUAAGACCACGGUACUGCAUGGUACAGUGGUAAAAACUCCGGUGGUAUGAGAUGGACCCGCGUCUGAUUAGGUAGUUGGUGAGGUAACGGCCCACCAAGCCGACGAUCAGUAGCCGACCUGAGAGGGUGACCGGCCACAUUGGGACUGAGACACGGCCCAGACUCCUACGGGAGGCAGCAGUGGGGAAUAUUGCACAAUGGGCGAAAGCCUGAUGCAGCGACGCCGCGUGAAGGAUGAAGUAUUUCGGUAUGUAAACUUCUAUCAGCAGGGAAGAAAAUGACGGUAC